This 49-nucleotide ribosomal RNA is filed under the name Funneliformis mosseae. Its description in RNAcentral is "partial 28S ribosomal RNA". The record is from RNAcentral. Lineage: Eukaryota; Fungi; Glomeromycota; Glomeromycetes; Glomerales; Glomeraceae.
UACUCAAAAUUUUGACCUCAAAUCAGGUAAGAAUACCCGCUGAAAUUAA